RNAcentral lists this ribosomal RNA (229 nucleotides) under uncultured bacterium. RNAcentral describes it as "partial 16S ribosomal RNA". It matches the Rfam family "Bacterial small subunit ribosomal RNA", at positions 120 to 354 of the family's 1533-position model. The record is from RNAcentral.
AGGACCUGCUUGAGUGGGAUAACAGCUGGAACAGCUGCUAAUACCGCAUGAUGCAGUUGGGCCGCAUGGCUCUGACUGCCAAAGAUUUAUCGCUCUGAGAUGGACUCGCGUCUGAUUAGCUAGUUGGCGGGGUAACGGCCCACCAAGGCGACGAUCAGUAGCCGGACUGAGAGGUUGGCCGGCCACAUUGGGACUGAGACACGGCCCAGACUCCUACGGAAGGCAGCAG